Molecule: long non-coding RNA, 331 nt
Filed under: Phoenix dactylifera (date palm)
Lineage: Eukaryota; Viridiplantae; Streptophyta; Magnoliopsida; Arecales; Arecaceae
Description: long non-coding RNA (PDAC_LNC022768)
Source: RNAcentral
UUCGAUCUCAUUUCGGAACUGAUAACAAUUCUCGGUAUCAUGGCCGUGAUCCCGGUGAAAACGGCAAUACUUCCGGAGAUCACGCCGGAUUCUGGUGUCUGGCUUUGGAGGGAGAAGCCGGAUGCAAUCCCGACUCUCAAUCUCCAUGAGGAUUUCAGCCCGAGGAGCAUUGAGGGGAGUAUACUCUUCAUACCUCCCUUCAGGUGCACGGGCCUGCAGUGGGAACCUCGGGCGGAGUGACCUCUGCUGCGGCGGUCCUCUCAACCGGGGUGGACUCUUCGGGCGGGGCGGAUUCUUAGCUCGUCGUGGAGACGGGCUUCUGGGUCGGCCG